This 29-nucleotide non-coding RNA is filed under the name Rattus norvegicus (Norway rat). Lineage: Eukaryota; Metazoa; Chordata; Mammalia; Rodentia; Muridae. The record is from RNAcentral.
UGUCUCUGGUGUCCAACACUGGAUCGGGC